RNAcentral lists this ribosomal RNA (34 nucleotides) under Sphaeronaemella fimicola. RNAcentral describes it as "partial 28S ribosomal RNA". The record is from RNAcentral. Lineage: Eukaryota; Fungi; Ascomycota; Sordariomycetes; Microascales.
CCGAUCCGCCCUCGGCUUUGUAGGACUACCCGCU